GAUCCUGGUGUGGAGGCAGUCCGAACCGAGGCGGGUCCUGGAGUUAGGUCCUGGAGGCGAGUCCCAGAGAACAAUUGUCCAUGUUCCCUCGGUCUUGACAACAGAUCACUGCCUGCAGGCAGUGAACCUUGAAGGUAGUGGACUGGGUGCCAAUUAAGCAGGCUGCUUCAACCUGGACGGUGUCAGGUUUCCUGAGUGUUGUUGAAGCAGCAUCCAUCCAGGC
Long non-coding RNA from Rhincodon typus (whale shark), 223 nucleotides. RefSeq lists it as uncharacterized. The transcript is spliced from 3 exons. NCBI's taxonomy places the organism in Eukaryota, Metazoa, Chordata, Chondrichthyes, Orectolobiformes, Rhincodontidae. The record is from RefSeq and is a predicted model, not a curated record.